RNAcentral lists this ribosomal RNA (267 nucleotides) under uncultured bacterium. RNAcentral's name for it is "partial 16S ribosomal RNA". It matches the Rfam family "Bacterial small subunit ribosomal RNA", at positions 526 to 779 of the family's 1533-position model. The record is from RNAcentral.
CGAAGGGGGGCUAGCGUUGCUCGGGAAUCACUGGGGCGUAAAAGGGGCGCGUAGGCGGCCAUUUCAAGUCGGGGGGUGAAAGCCUGUGGGCUCAACCACAGAAUUGCCUUCGAUACUGUUUGGCUUGAGUUUGGUAGAGGUUGGUGGAACUGCGAGUGUAGAGGUGAAAUUCGUAGAUAUUCGCAAGAACACCAGUGGCGAAGGCGGCCAAACUGGGACCAACACUGACGCUGAAGGCGCGAAAAGCGUGGGGGAGCAAACAGGAUU